This 445-nucleotide ribosomal RNA is filed under the name uncultured bacterium. Its description in RNAcentral is "bacterial SSU rRNA". It matches the Rfam family "Bacterial small subunit ribosomal RNA", at positions 331 to 793 of the family's 1533-position model. The record is from RNAcentral.
CCAGACUCCUACGGGAGGCAGCAGUGGGGAAUAUUGCACAAUGGGGGAAACCCUGAUGCAGCGACGCCGCGUGAGUGGAGAAGUAAUUCGUUAUGUAAAGCUCUAUCAGCAGGGAAGAAAAUGACGGUACCUGAGUAAGAAGCCCCGGCUAACUACGUGCCAGCAGCCGCGGUAAUACGUAGGGGGCAAGCGUUAUCCGGAUUCACUGGGCGUAAAGGGAGCGCAGGCGGCAUGGCAAGUCUGAUGUGAAAACCCGGGGCCCAACCCCGGGAGUGCAUUGGAAACUGCCAGGCUGGAGUGUCGGAGGGGUAAGCGGAAUUCCUAGUGGAGCGGUGAAAUGCGUAGAUAUUAGGAGGAACACCAGUGGCGAAGGCGGCUUACUGGAAGAAUACUGACGCUGAGGCUCGAAAGCGUGGGGAGCAAACAGGAUUAGAUACCCUUGUAC